CCUACGGGAGGCAGCAGUGGGGAAUAUUGGGCAAUGGGCGCAAGCCUGACCCAGCAACGCCGCGUGAAGGAAGAAGGCUUUCGGGUUGUAAACUUCUUUUCUCAGGGACGAAGCAAGUGACGGUACCUGAGGAAUAAGCCACGGCUAACUACGUGCCAGCAGUCGCGGUAAUACGUAAGUGGCAAGCGUUAUCCGGAUGUACUGGGUGUAAAGGGCGUGUAGGCGGGAAAGCAAGUCAGAUGUGAAAACCAGGGGCUGAACCUGUGGCGUGCAUUUGAAACUGUUUUUCGUGAGAACGGGAGAGGCAGACGGAAUGCGUGGUGUAGCGGUGAAAUGCGUAGAUAUUAGGAGGAACACCGGUGGCGAAGGCGGUCUGCUGGGCAGCAACUGACGCUGAGGCGCGAAAGCGUGGGGAGCAAACAGGAUUAGAUACCCUGGUAGUC
This 443-nucleotide ribosomal RNA is filed under the name uncultured bacterium. RNAcentral describes it as "partial 16S ribosomal RNA". It matches the Rfam family "Bacterial small subunit ribosomal RNA", at positions 338 to 795 of the family's 1533-position model. The record is from RNAcentral.